GCAAGUCGAGGGCAUCAUGACGAUAGCUUGCUAUGUCGAUGGCGACCGGCGCACGGGUGAGUAACGCGUAUCCAACCUUCCCUUAGUAGGCAUAGCCGCGAAAGUCGGAUUAAUACCCUAUGUUAUUCGUAGAGGACAUCUGAAAUGAAUCAAAGAUUAAUCGCUAAGGGAUGGGGAUGCGUCCGAUUAGGUAGUCGGCGGGGUAACGGCCCACCGAGCCUUCGAUCGGUAGGGGUUCUGAGAGGAAGGUCCCCCACACUGGUACUGAGACACGGACCAGACUCCUACGGGAGGCAGCAGUGAGGAAUAUUGGUCAAUGGACGGGAGUCUGAACCAGACCCAAGUAGCGUGCAGGACGACGGCCCUAUGGGUUGUAAACUGCUUUUAUACGGGGAUAAAGUCGCCCACGUGUGGGUGUUUGUAGGUACCGUAUGAAUAAGGACCGGCUAAUUCCGUGCCAGCCGCCGC
RNAcentral lists this ribosomal RNA (468 nucleotides) under uncultured bacterium. Its description in RNAcentral is "bacterial SSU rRNA". It matches the Rfam family "Bacterial small subunit ribosomal RNA", at positions 57 to 518 of the family's 1533-position model. The record is from RNAcentral.